GAUGAACGCCGGCGGCGUGCCUAAUACAUGCAAGUCGAGCGAACGGACGAGAAGCUUGCUUCUCUGAUGUUAGCGGCGGACGGGUGAGUAACACGUGGAUAACCUACCUAUAAGACUGGGAUAACUUCGGGAAACCGGAGCUAAUACCGGAUAAUAUUUUGAACCGCAUGGUUCAAAAGUGAAAGACGGUCUUGCUGUCACUUAUAGAUGGAUCCGCGCUGCAUUAGCUAGUUGGUAAGGUAACGGCUUACCAAGGCAACGAUGCAUAGCCGACCUGAGAGGGUGAUCGGCCACACUGGAACUGAGACACGGUCCAGACUCCUACGGGAGGCAGCAGUAGGGAAUCUUCCGCAAUGGGCGAAAGCCUGACGGAGCAACGCCGCGUGAGUGAUGAAGGUCUUCGGAUCGUAAAACUCUGUUAUUAGGGAAGAACAUAUGUGUAAGUAACUGUGCACAUCUUGGCGGUACCUAAUCAGAAAGCCACGGCUAACUACGUGCCAGCAGCCGCGGUAAUACGUAGGUGGCAAGCGUUAUCCGGAAUUAUUGGGCGUAAAGCGCGCGUAGGCGGUUUUUUAAGUCUGAUGUGAAAGCCCACGGCUCAACCGUGGAGGGUCAUUGGAAACUGGAAAACUUGAGUGCAGAAGAGGAAAGUGGAAUUCCAUGUGUAGCGGUGAAAUGCGCAGAGAUAUGGAGGAACACCAGUGGCGAAGGCGACUUUCUGGUCUGUAACUGACGCUGAUGUGCGAAAGCGUGGGGAUCAAACAGGAUUAGAUACCCUGGUAGUCCACGCCGUAAACGAUGAGUGCUAAGUGUUAGGGGGUUUCCGCCCCUUAGUGCUGCAGCUAACGCAUUAAGCACUCCGCCUGGGGAGUACGACCGCAAGGUUGAAACUCAAAGGAAUUGACGGGGACCCGCACAAGCGGUGGAGCAUGUGGUUUAAUUCGAAGCAACGCGAAGAACCUUACCAAAUCUUGACAUCCUUUGACAACUCUAGAGAUAGAGCUUUCCCCUUCGGGGGACAAAGUGACAGGUGGUGCAUGGUUGUCGUCAGCUCGUGUCGUGAGAUGUUGGGUUAAGUCCCGCAACGAGCGCAACCCUUAAGCUUAGUUGCCAUCAUUAAGUUGGGCACUCUAAGUUGACUGCCGGUGACAAACCGGAGGAAGGUGGGGAUGACGUCAAAUCAUCAUGCCCCUUAUGAUUUGGGCUACACACGUGCUACAAUGGACAAUACAAAGGGCAGCGAAACCGCGAGGUCAAGCAAAUCCCAUAAAGUUGUUCUCAGUUCGGAUUGUAGUCUGCAACUUGACUACAUGAAGCUGGAAUCGCUAGUAAUCGUAGAUCAGCAUGCUACGGUGAAUACGUUCCCGGGUCU
This 1372-nucleotide ribosomal RNA is filed under the name uncultured bacterium. RNAcentral describes it as "bacterial SSU rRNA". It matches the Rfam family "Bacterial small subunit ribosomal RNA", at positions 28 to 1381 of the family's 1533-position model. The record is from RNAcentral.